Molecule: ribosomal RNA, 682 nt
Filed under: uncultured Bacteroidales bacterium
Lineage: Bacteria; Pseudomonadati; Bacteroidota; Bacteroidia; Bacteroidales
Description: bacterial SSU rRNA
Rfam family: Bacterial small subunit ribosomal RNA
Source: RNAcentral
AUGCAAGUCGAGGGGCAGCAUGGUCUUAGCUUGCUAAGGCCGAUGGCGACCGGCGCACGGGUGAGUAACACGUAUCCAACCUGCCGUCUACUCUUGGACAGCCUUCUGAAAGGAAGAUUAAUACAAGAUGGCAUCAUGAGUCCGCAUGUUCACAUGAUUAAAGGUAUUCCGGUAGACGAUGGGGAUGCGUUCCAUUAGAUAGUAGGCGGGGUAACGGCCCACCUAGUCUUCGAUGGAUAGGGGUUCUGAGAGGAAGGUCCCCCACAUUGGAACUGAGACACGGUCCAAACUCCUACGGGAGGCAGCAGUGAGGAAUAUUGGUCAAUGGGCGCAGGCCUGAACCAGCCAAGUAGCGUGAAGGAUGACUGCCCUAUGGGUUGUAAACUUCUUUUAUAAAGGAAUAAAGUCGGGUAUGUAUACCCGUUUGCAUGUACUUUAUGAAUAAGGAUCGGCUAACUCCGUGCCAGCAGCCGCGGUAAUACGGAGGAUCCGAGCGUUAUCCGGAUUUAUUGGGUUUAAAGGGAGCGUAGAUGGAUGUUUAAGUCAGUUGUGAAAGUUUGCGGCUCAACCGUAAAAUUGCAGUUGAUACUGGAUAUCUUGAGUGCAGUUGAGGCAGGCGGAAUUCGUGGUGUAGCGGUGAAAUGCUUAGAUAUCACGAAGAACUCCGAUUGCGAAGGCAGCC